This is a long non-coding RNA of Quercus robur (English oak), 1474 nucleotides long. RefSeq lists it as uncharacterized. NCBI's taxonomy places the organism in Eukaryota, Viridiplantae, Streptophyta, Magnoliopsida, Fagales, Fagaceae. The transcript has 6 exons. The record is from RefSeq and is a predicted model, not a curated record.
UUGUCAGAUCUAUGAUUUACCAUAAGAGAAGCAUGUUUGGAUCCAUUACUAAAUGACCUUAGCCAUCUGAUGCCUUUAUUCAAUGUUGGGAAAUCAUCAAAGACUUCAUCUUCCCAUGUAAUGCUUGUGAAGAAGAAUUGAUCACGAGCAGGGCAAAACUGUUCAUGCUCAUUUCACAGGAUAAAACAAACCAAAAGACUUAUCUCCAUAGGUAACUUAGCUUGGCUACCCUAUCAAAGUGACUCAACUAGAAUUAGAAUCAAAGGAUAACAGAAAUUAAACCUGAGCAUACAACAAACUUAGCCAUAAAUUACUAACCUAAUUCUCUGGUGCAUAUUCAAUCAGGCAAGCAACUGUGCAGAAAAGGUUGAAAAAUAGAGAAGGACCUGAUUAGAGAGCUGUACUCUCCAGAAGUGGCUGCUCAAAUUUUAGCUAUCUCUAUCUCAAGCUGUUGAGUUACUGAUAAGCUGCUAUGGCCUCAUACAACACAACAUAUUUAGUUUUGUAGGUAUGCACAAGCCUAUGAUGCGCAACAUGUUGAUUAGAGUAGCUACUAGAGUGUACCAGGGCAAGUGUUGCUGACAGUUGAAGGGCACUGGCAGAGUAGGCUUGUUUUGGUUAGUGGAAGAUUGGAGGACCUGUGUUUGGAAAAGAAGAAGGUUCCUUGGCAACUUGCUGCGCUGACUGAAGAACACGAGUGCAAGGGAGUUGGAGAACGCCAGUGUUGUACAUUGGCUGUGCAUGGGAGUCACUAAUGAGGCUAAAGGCCAGGUCUGCACAAGUCUUUAAUGCACAACAAGCAGAUCAGAGUAACUGCAGGAAAGUACCAAGGCAGGUGUUUCAGGUUGUGGAGGGUUGUAGGAGUUGCUGACAAUUUAGGGACACUAGUAGAGAUAGUGUGAAUGGGAUGAUUUUGGCUUUGUAGCCAAAUCAAUUUUCGGCAGGCUGUUGCAGUUCUUCCAUAUGCAAUCAAAUGGCAUGCAGCUAGAUGCCACUGUUCGGAAAGCAUUAACUAAGGCUAUACAGCUUGGUUUUUGUAGACUUGUUUCCAUAAUUUCUAUGAGUGGAUGACCUAUUUUUGAGAAGAAGGUUUCCUUGGCAACUUGCUGUGCUGAUUGAAGACCACAAGUGCAUGGAAGUUGGAGAACGCUAGUGGUUGUAUAUUUUGUGCAUAAGAGAGUUGCUACAGAUGUUGGGGCCUUGCUUCAAAUUCUUUUGAACAUUUUUGGACUCUACUACCGGCCAACGCUUCAGACAUUAUUGUAUUAAUAAACCAUACCCAAAAAGAAAAAAGAAGACCAAAAGAAAUAAGUUAAAUUAACACCUUUUCUGGACUAAUUUAAGCUAUGGCAUGCAACUAAAUGCAAUCAUGAACAUUGUAAGACAUCAUAUAAGAGAUUCAUGUACUUAACGUGAAAAUUAUAUUCAACUCUCCUUUUAGAUUCAAAUAAGAGCAAUUGAAUUAACCAUCUAA